GUUCCUUGGAAAAGGACAGCUGAGAGGGUGACACUCCCGUCCGCCUGGUAGAGUGAGUCUUUGUCAACGAGUCGAGUUGUUUGGGAUUGCAGCUCUAAUUUGGUGGUAAAUUCCAUCUAAAGCUAAAUAUUGGUGGGAGACCGAUAGCGUACAAGUACCGUGAGGGAAAGAUGCAAAGAACUUUGAAAAGAGAGUUAAAGAGUACCUGAAAUUGCUGAAACGGAAGCGAAGGAAACCAGUGUUUGUUGGUUCAUAUUUCCCUUGUCACUUGUGAUGCGGGCGCUGUGAGCUUGCGUGGGUUUGCUUUGGUUGAUUCCUUUGGAAGAGCGCAGUCAGAGUUGAUGUCU
Molecule: ribosomal RNA, 347 nt
Filed under: Pseudo-nitzschia galaxiae
Lineage: Eukaryota; Bacillariophyta; Bacillariophyceae; Bacillariales; Bacillariaceae
Description: LSU rRNA
Rfam family: Eukaryotic large subunit ribosomal RNA
Source: RNAcentral